AACGAACGCUGGCGGCAGGCCUAACACAUGCAAGUCGAACGCUGUAGCAAUACAGAGUGGCAGACGGGUGAGUAACGCGUGGGAACGUGCCCUUUGGUUCGGAAUAACCCAGGGAAACUUGGGCUAAUACCGGAUACGUCCGUAAGGAGAAAGAUUUAUCGCCAAAGGAUCGGCCCGCGUCGGAUUAGCUAGUUGGUGAGGUAAAGGCUCACCAAGGCGACGAUCCGUAGCUGGUCUGAGAGGAUGACCAGCCACACUGGGACUGAGACACGGCCCAGACUCCUACGGGAGGCAGCAGUGAGGAAUAUUGGACAAUGGGCGCAAGCCUGAUCCAGCCAUGCCGCGUGAGUGAAGAAGGCCUUAAGGGUUGUAAAGCUCUUUCAGCGGGGAAGAUAAUGACGGUACCCGCAGAAGAGCCCCGGCUAACUCCGUGCCAGCCACCGCCGUAAC
Molecule: ribosomal RNA, 450 nt
Filed under: uncultured bacterium
Lineage: Bacteria
Description: bacterial SSU rRNA
Rfam family: Bacterial small subunit ribosomal RNA
Source: RNAcentral